Molecule: long non-coding RNA, 1408 nt
Organism: Oncorhynchus keta (chum salmon)
Lineage: Eukaryota; Metazoa; Chordata; Actinopteri; Salmoniformes; Salmonidae
Exons: 6
Source: RefSeq, a predicted model, not a curated record
UGACAGGUUAGUACAGUGGUGAACCUAUAGGUCCUCCGUGUGUGACAGGUUAGUGGUGGUGUACCUAUAGGCCUCCAGUGUGUGACAGGUUAGUACAGUGGUGAACCUAUAGGUCCUCCGUGUGUGACAGGUUAGUGGUGGUGUACCUAUAGGUCCUCCGUGUGUGACAGGUUAGUAGGGUGGUGAACCUAUAGGUCCUCCGUGUGUGACAGGUUAGUAGGGUGGUGAACCUAUAGGUCCUCCGUGUGUGACAGGUUAGUAGGGUGGUGAACCUAUAGGUCCUCCGUGUGUGACAGGUUAGUAGGGUGGUGAAACUAUAGGCCUCCAGUGUGUGACAGGUUAGUGGUGGUGUACCUAUAGGUCCUCCGUGUGUGACAGGUUAGUAGGGUGGUGAACCUAUAGGCCUCCAGUGUGUGACAGGUUAGUAGGGUGGUGAACCUAUAGGUCCUCCGUGUGUGACAGGUUAGUAGGGUGGUGAACCUAUAGGCCUCCAGUGUGUGACAGGUUAGUAGGGUGGUGAACCUAUAGGUCCUCCGUGUGUGACAGGUUAGUAGGGUGGUGAAACUAUAGGCCUCCAGUGUGUGACAGGUUAGUAGGGUGGUGAAACUAUAGGCCUCCAGUGUGUGACAGGUUAGUACAGUGGUGAACCUAUAGGUCCUCCGUGUGUGACAGGUUAGUGGUGGUGUACCUAUAGGCCUCCAGUGUGUGACAGGUUAGUGGUGGUGUACCUAUAGGUCCUCCGUGUGUGACAGGUUAGUGGUGGUGAACCUAUAGGUCCUCCGCGUGUGACAGGUUAGUACAGUGGUGAACCUAUAGGUCCUCCGUGUGUGACAGGUUAGUACAGUGGUGAACCUAUAGGUCCUCCGUGUGUGACAGGUUAGUGGUGGUGUACCUAUAGGCCUCCAGUGUGUGACAGGUUAGUACAGUGGUGAACCUAUAGGUCCUCCGUGUGUGACAGGUUAGUGGUGGUGUACCUAUAGGUCCUCCGUGUGUGACAGGUUAGUAGGGUGGUGAACCUAUAGGCCUCCAGUGUGUGACAGGUUAGUGGUGGUGAACCUAUAGGUCCUCCGUGUGUGACAGGUUAGUAGGGUGGUGAACCUAUAGGCCUCCAGUGUGUGACAGGUUAGUAGGGUGGUGAACCUAUAGGUCCUCCGUGUGUGACAGGUUAGUAGGGUGGUGAAACUAUAGGCCUCCAGUGUGUGACAGGUUAGUAGGGUGGUGAAACUAUAGGCCUCCAGUGUGUGACAGGUUAGUGGUGGUGUACCUAUAGGUCCUCCGUGUGUGACAGGUUAGUAGGGUGGUGAACCUAUAGGCCUCCAGUGUGUGACAGGUUAGUAGGGUGGUGAACCUAUAGGUCCUCCGUGUGUGACAGGUUAGUAGGGUGGUGAACCUAUAGGCCUCCAGUGUG